RNAcentral lists this ribosomal RNA (253 nucleotides) under uncultured bacterium. Its description in RNAcentral is "partial 16S ribosomal RNA". It matches the Rfam family "Bacterial small subunit ribosomal RNA", at positions 524 to 776 of the family's 1533-position model. The record is from RNAcentral.
UACGUAGGGGGCAAGCGUUGUCCGGAAUCAUUGGGCGUAAAGCGCGUGUAGGCGGCUCGAUAAGUCUGCUGUGAAAGUCCAGGGCUCAACCCUGGAAUGCCGGUGGAAACUGUCGAGCUAGAGUCCGGAAGAGGCGAGUGGAAUUCCUGGUGUAGCGGCGAAAUGCGCAGAUAUCAGGAGGAACACCAAUGGCGAAGGCAGCUCGCUGGGACGGUACUGACGCUGAGACGCGAAAGCGUGGGGAGCAAACAGG